RNAcentral lists this transfer RNA (77 nucleotides) under Xylella fastidiosa. RNAcentral's name for it is "tRNA_Pro_GGG". It matches the Rfam family "tRNA". Rfam says of the family: Transfer RNA (tRNA) molecules are approximately 80 nucleotides in length. RNAcentral also lists the same sequence under 24 other names. The record is from RNAcentral. Lineage: Bacteria; Pseudomonadati; Pseudomonadota; Gammaproteobacteria; Lysobacterales; Lysobacteraceae.
CGGGGUAUAGCGCAGCCUGGUAGCGCACCAGUCUGGGGGACUGGUGGUCGUCGGUUCAAAUCCGGCUACCCCGACCA